GUCCCCUUCUAACCCACAGAGUAACAUCCCUGGUGCUCUCUGUCCCCUUCUAACCCACAGAGUAACAUCCCUGGUGCUCUCUGUCUCCUUCUAACCCACAGAAUAACAUCCCUGGUGCUCUCUGUCCCCUUCUAACCCACAGAGUAACAUCCCUGGUGCUCUCUGUCCCCUUCUAACCCACAGAAUAACAUCCCUGGUGCUCUCUGUCCCCUUCUAACCCACAGAGUAACAUCCCUGGUGCUCUCUGUCCCCUUCUAACCCACAGAAUAACAUCCCUGGUGCUCUCUGUCCCCUUUCUAACCCACAGAGUAACAUCCCUGGUGCUCUCUGUCCCCUUUCUAACCCACAGAGUAACAUCCCUGGUGCUCUCUGUCUCCUUCUAACCCACAGAAUAACAUCCCUGGUGCUCUCUGUCCCCUUCUAACUCACAGAAAAACAUCCCUGGUGUUUUUAAACACCCUGAUCUGUUUCCCCUGUCUUGUGCUUGUUUUUAUCCCCCCACCAGGUGUCUCCACAUUAUCCCCUGUGUUUUUAUACCUGUGUUUUCUGUAAAUCUGUUGCCAGUUCGUCUCGUCAAGUUGUCCCAGCGUGUUUUUCCUUCUCUCGUUUGUGUUAGUCUUCCCGGGUUCCGACCUGUUUUUGCCCUGAUCCUGAUCCUGAUCCUGAGCCUGCCUGACUCUUAUUAGGAUUACUGAUCUCUGCCUGUUCUGGACCUGCAAUUGGCCUACCCCUUGUAUAUAAUACAUCUCUGGGACUGCCUCCUUUGUCUGCAUCUGGGUCUCGUCCUGUGUGUUGAUAUUUUUUUCAGCUGAAAGACGACGAUUAACCAAGACGAAAGCUUAACCAUGAUGUUUCACAACUAUUUCAGUCAAUAAGUUAUCGCUUUAGUCAAAGUAUGAUCCCCAGUAGGCUGUCAUUGUGAAUAAGAAUGUGUUCUUAACAGACUUGCCUAGUUCAAUAAAGGUACAAUUAAAACAGGUACAAUUAAUGACAUACACUGAGUGUACGAAAACAUUAGGAACACCUUCCUAAUAGUGAGUUGCACCUCCUUUUGCCCUCAGAACAGCC
Molecule: long non-coding RNA, 1068 nt
Organism: Oncorhynchus tshawytscha (Chinook salmon)
Lineage: Eukaryota; Metazoa; Chordata; Actinopteri; Salmoniformes; Salmonidae
Source: Ensembl